GAUGAACGCUGGCGGCGUGCCUAACACAUGCAAGUCGAGCGAACAAACGAGGCUUUCUCUGCUCUUUCGUUACGGACGGAUGGGUAAGUCAUACGUAACUUACCUUUCUCUAUGGGUGAGGUCAGUUCAGGUGACCGGAGUUCUUACUGGAUCUUAUCUUGAACUGGAUGGUUCUAUAGAGAUUGAUUGGUCUGCUGUGACUUAUAGGUGUAUCCGCGUUUUAUUAGUUAGUUGGUAGGGUAACGGCUUACCGAGGCGACGAUGCGUAGGCGAACUGAGAGGGUGAUAGGCCACACUGGAACUGAGACACGGUCCAGACUCCUACGGGAGGCAGCAGUAGGGAAUCUUCGGCAAUGGGCGAAAGCCUGACGCAGCAACGCCGCGUGUGUGAAGAAGGUCUUCGGAUAGUAAAGCUCUGUUAUUGGGGAAGAACCAAUGUGAGUUGAAAAGUGGACGUCUUGACGGUACCUAAAGAAAAAGCCACGGCUAACUACGUG
RNAcentral lists this ribosomal RNA (497 nucleotides) under uncultured bacterium. RNAcentral's name for it is "partial 16S ribosomal RNA". It matches the Rfam family "Bacterial small subunit ribosomal RNA", at positions 28 to 507 of the family's 1533-position model. The record is from RNAcentral.